UCAAAAUCCAGCUGGAGCAGCCCCCCCAUAAUCCGGGCUCAUAGUCACCCCCCCACCCGCGGGGGGGUCACCGCUUCGCCCCCCCGUUCCCCCCGUGUGCCACCCCCAUGCCAGGAGCUGAAGCCAUCGUCCCCGGUGCAGGAUUUGGGGGGACCCCCCAAAAAAUGGGAGUGUCCCCCCUCCAGACAAUCUCUGUCACCCCAAAUACCCCUCGGGGGAGGGGGGGUGAUGCACCACAAAGGGCCCCCCCUCUGCCGUGACCCCAAAAUGAGGAGCGGGUCCAACCCCAGCAUCACCCCCUUCCUACAAAAGAAAUGGGGGGCUCAAAUCCAGGGUAACCCCAAAGUGGGGCUCCCCCUCCCCACCUUUAUUUUAAGGGAGAAAAGCUCCGGAAUGGGUCGGAGGCUGGAACUGGGGGGAGGGGAGGAUUAUUUUUUCACACCUCCCCAACUCGUGUUUGUGUUUCCUGUGAGUCCUGUAUAAAAUAAAGGUUUAUUUAUCGCUA
This is a long non-coding RNA of Lepidothrix coronata (blue-crowned manakin), 505 nucleotides long. RefSeq lists it as uncharacterized. The record is from RefSeq and is a predicted model, not a curated record. The transcript has 2 exons. Lineage: Eukaryota; Metazoa; Chordata; Aves; Passeriformes; Pipridae.